Molecule: long non-coding RNA, 441 nt
Filed under: Bos taurus (domestic cattle)
Lineage: Eukaryota; Metazoa; Chordata; Mammalia; Artiodactyla; Bovidae
Description: long non-coding RNA NONBTAT000990
Source: RNAcentral
UAAAUGCCAGUAUAAAUGUUCUAUUUAUCAACUUUCAGGCAAACAAGUUUUAUUUUCACCUUGCAUAUUAUAAAAAGUCUAGAUUUGUAAAAAGCUAAAGGUUAUACAAAGUUUAUAAAUAAUCCUGCAAACACACAUAGUAGACAAGUCAAUGUGCAGAAACUUGAACAUCGGCCAUAAAUCACAAUUCUUGAUCAUUCGUGGGCUUGGUCAUAGGUGCACUUACCACAAGCAUAAAGGUGGGCUUCAUUAUUUUAGUGUCCCACUUCCAACAUUCAUAUAUUUUCAAACUUGAUCAGGCAGAACUGGAUUCAAGCUACUAAUGGAAAAUUUAGUAUAAACUUACUACAGCAGAACCACUAUUCCACAAUAAAUGAAUAUCUGGAUUUGAAUAUUGCAUUCUAGUAUCUGAUUUGCAUAAACAAACAUUAAAGGCUUCUA